Molecule: ribosomal RNA, 301 nt
Filed under: uncultured bacterium
Lineage: Bacteria
Description: partial 16S ribosomal RNA
Rfam family: Bacterial small subunit ribosomal RNA
Source: RNAcentral
CAGUCGCCACGGUAAUACGAAGGGGGCUAGCGUUGCUCGGAAUGACUGGGCGUAAAGGGCGCGUAGGCGGAUGGCACAGUCAGAUGUGAAAUUCCCGGGCUUAACCUGGGGGCUGCAUUUGAUACGUGUUGUCUAGAGUGAGGAAGAGGGUCGUGGAAUUCCCAGUGUAGAGGUGAAAUUCGUAGAUAUUGGGAAGAACACCGGUGGCGAAGGCGGCGACCUGGUCCUUGACUGACGCUGAGGCGCGAAAGCGUGGGGAGCAAACAGGAUUAGAUACCCGCGUAGUCCCUGUCUCUUAUAC